UAACAAUAAAAAUUAAAAAAAUUAACUAAUUUUAAAAAUAUUUUUGACGGAUUUCAUUUCGUAACAAAAGCAGAAUUUGCAUAUUUUUCAUUUUUCCUCAAUUUUUUUUUUACAUCUUUUCAUUUUCCCUCAAUUUUUUUUACAUUUUUUCAUUUUCUCUCAAAACCUAGAGAAUACCUUCACUUCACUCUCAUUAUGUGUAACAUUUUGCACCAUUAGUCAAGGUUGAUGUUCACGAUUUGGUCGGAUUUUACUGCUUGCGUAACAUUUUGUAUCAUUAGACAAGGUGGGUGUUCAAGAUUUGGUUGGAUUUUGAUGGAAACUUGUUAAAGGUCGGAUUUUGUUGUGUCUUCAUCUAACAUGUGAGUAUUGUACUUGAUUUUUAUUUUGUUUCAAUGUGAAUUUUGGGGGUGGUGAUUGGUGGUGCGAUUGUGAGUUUUUGGUUUGUGGUGCUUGGGGCUUUUGUAAUAUUGAUCAGUUCACUUUAGUAUCUUGUUCAGGUUUGCUCGUACCUAUCAUGAAUGGUUGUUUGUUUCAGCUGAGUGUAAGGUUGCACACUUUGAUCCUUGUAGGAAAGAGCACAAACGAACAUGUAAUAUAGGAAAAAUGAGUAUAUCUUUAGAUAUCCAAUCGAUCUUUUGAAGUUUUAGAAUUAGAGUGAGGCUUUAGUUAUUGCUGCAAUGAUGGAUAAGC
Molecule: long non-coding RNA, 693 nt
Filed under: Capsicum annuum
Lineage: Eukaryota; Viridiplantae; Streptophyta; Magnoliopsida; Solanales; Solanaceae
Description: long non-coding RNA (CANN_LNC022337)
Source: RNAcentral